GCGUCAGUGGUUUAGUGGUAGAAUUCCUGUUUCCCAUGCUGGAGAUCCGCGUUCGACUCCUGCUUGGUGCA
RNAcentral lists this transfer RNA (71 nucleotides) under Nomascus leucogenys (northern white-cheeked gibbon). It matches the Rfam family "tRNA". From Rfam's summary of the family: Transfer RNA (tRNA) molecules are approximately 80 nucleotides in length. Their secondary structure includes four short double-helical elements and three loops (D, anti-codon, and T loops). The record is from Rfam by way of RNAcentral. Lineage: Eukaryota; Metazoa; Chordata; Mammalia; Primates; Hylobatidae.